Non-coding RNA from Schistosoma haematobium, 80 nucleotides. NCBI's taxonomy places the organism in Eukaryota, Metazoa, Platyhelminthes, Trematoda, Strigeidida, Schistosomatidae. The record is from Rfam.
UACUUAGUUCGAAUCCGUGCUAGGAUUUUGUCCGAUACCAACCCAUUAGGGCUGAUCAGACUUCCAAGAUAAGUGAAGUU